CAAGCUUCUCAUUAUUGCAAUGCAUGUUUACAGAUAAGCAAGAGGAGAAGCCUAGACUAAUCCAAGUUGUUCAUGAAGAAAGUCAAACUCUAAAACAUUUAAAGAGGUUUAUUCUGCGCCAAAUAUGAGUGACCAUGGCUUGAGGCAUAAUAUCAAGAGGUCCUGAGAACAUUUACCCGAGGUGGUUGGGUACAGCUUGGUUCUACACAUUUUGGGGAGGAGACAUAAGACAUCAGUCAAUACAUGUGAGGUAUACAUUGGCUCGAUAUAAAAAGGCUGGACAUUUCAAAGUGGGGGUUUUCAGGUCAUAGGUGAAGUCAAAGAUUUCUUGAUUGGCAGUUGGUUGAAGGAGUUCAGCUUAAGAUAAGGAGGGAUGUGGAAGCCAAGGUUCUCGCUGUGUAGAUGGAGCCUUCAGGUAACAGGCUUCAGAUAUAAUAGAUGGUAAAUGUAUUUUGUCAGGUUUUAAAAGAUGUUAGACUUUUAGUUAAAUCUCUCCUGUAUCGGGAAAAAACCUGGAAAGAUUUCCAUACUACUGGCAAAGAUCUCACUAAUUAGCCCUCAUAUAUUGACUUCUGUUUUCAUUUUUCUUCUUUGGUAAAAUGAAUCCUGCUUUGUAUCAUAGAUUUAUCCUCAAUUGAUUGGUGAUUCCAGCCCUUUGGUCCAGCACUCAAGCCUGGAUCACUCAGUCAUCAUCUUUAUCCACUAACUGCUGGACUCUAAUGAAAAGAAAGCUCUUACCUGCCCAACUUAUUGCCUCCAAGUGUACCAAGAUACGUUUCUCUCUGACAUUGCCUGUACAUUUGCCUGUAGAACUGAAUAAAUGCCUAAAAAAUUAGUGCUAAAUGGCAGCAACUAGAGUUUACUUUGAAGCUGUUUUAUUAUCCUUCAUUGUGUAUAAUUCACUGAGAAAAAUGACACCUGGAUGGUGCCCUUUUCUUGUUUUAUAAAUAUUCAUUUCUUCCUGGUGAUAUAAAAAAGGUUGAAAUGAAAGUUUCGGGUUUUCCUGGGGAAAAGAAAGAAUGACAAUUUUCGAUUACUGUGCUGCUUAUCACAAAAGUAGUUUCAUUUGCCUGAUAGCUUCAUUGACUGGUGUCAAGAUAAUGCCAAGUAGAGUGUUUUGCUAGCUUAAUGCCACCCACAGAGAUAGACAAAAUAUUACUUUUCACAUGCAUUAUGAAAAUAGUAGCUAUUAAUUGUGCUGCUCAACUGUAAGCUGAUCAAACUGCAGAAAACAAGAAAUGUGGCAUUUACGAUUUAGGAAGGCACUUUUCUCAAAUUUCCAGUCAUUAAUUCACAGUUUAAAUCUUGGACCUAAGAAUAUUUACCAAAUUCCUCUAAGUUUCCUGAUCUACUGAAUAUUUUCUUAUUGUUAUGUCAAUCAAGUAAAAUUCUAAGGAGGUUUGAGACUGAGAUUUAUUAUGGCAUUAUAACUCAAUGUUCUGUUUUUCUACUGCAGUUUAAUGUUUUAAAAGGUUAAAUAAGAAUUGGUAUUUAAUGUUAACAAUAACCAUACCUGUUCAUAGACCAUUUUCAUCAACACUUAAGUAUUGGUGCUUAUGCCAUAUCAGGCACUGUUUUAGGCACCACGGAGUAUAAAAAUGGUAAUUUUAGAAUUGUGUGCUUAAGUUUUAAAUCAAGACUGGAAUUUAAGAUACAAAAAGUAUAAUGGCAAAAUUUUCCAGAAAAGUAGACUGGGACUAGAUUAUGAAGACCUUGAAUGCAAGGUUGAGGAAUAUAGAUGUAGAAGGAGCCACUGCAGAAAUUCCCCAGGAGAGUGGCAGAGCAUGUCUAUUCUUUAGAAAUGUCAUUGUGGUCACAAUGCAAAUGAUUGCUUAUGUAUGAGAGGGGCCUAGUGCAAGAGGCGCAGAAGUAUAGAAUGUGCAGGGUUGCAUCGAAAGUAUAGAGUGUGUAGUGACUGUGAGGAUGAAGAGCAGAAAUUACAGUCACUAGCAUAGAGGCAGUGCAGGGUUCUCUUACAUGACAAUAAUGGCAUCAUUAUUAUUAUUAAUUACCAAUAAUAGCUGUCUCCUAUAGCUGGAACAGGACCUCUUGGGUCAUUUAGAUGGUCCUGAUAGCAUGAUCAUAAAUGAUCUGGGAGAUGACUUAAGCAGUAUGUGGUCCAACCCAAGGUCCUGCAUUCUUUAUCUUCUUGAAGCUAUAAUUUGUAAGAGUGACUUGAGGGAGAGUGGGAGAGCGACAAAGUUGGCCCCUAGAUGUCAUGAAAGCCAUGUGUUAGAUGCCACCUCUCCAAGCCUUUCAAAUAUCUUGAUCUUUCAUCUUCAUACCACACUUCUUUCCAAGGUCAGGAGGGGUCAGUGUGGUAACUCACCAUGUGACGCAGACUGAGCCUGAGAUCUAGAAAGUGACUGGCCAUUGAUCAUCUAACAUAUCAUUGGAGGUGGAUGAAUCCAACAAGCAAGGUAGUUUUUGCAACUGAUUAUUGGCCUGAAACAGGAAGAGAUGAAUAAAUUUUUAUUUAAAAUCAUGGCAGUUUAUUUGACCUGUCUCUUGAGAAGUCAUUUACAUUGGAAUUCAACCAUCAAACUUCUCAGCUGACACCCUUCAAUAAUUGUUGGGAACAGGCCCCCCAAAAUCUGUCCAUAAACUGGUCCCAAAACUGGCCAUAAACAAAAUCUCUGCAGCACUGUAACAUGUUCAUAAUGGCCCUAAAGCCCAAGCUGGAAGGUUGUGGGUUUACGGGAAUGAGAGCAAGGAACAUCUGGCCAGCUCAGGGCAGAAAACCGCUUAAGGCAUUCUUAAGCGACAAACAAUAACAUGAACGAUCUGUGCCUUAAGGACGUGCUCCUGCUGCAGUUAACUAGCCCAACCUAUUCCUUUAAUUCGGCCCAUCCCUUCGUUUCCCAUAAGGAAUACCUUUUAGUUAAUCAAAUAUCUAUAGAAACAAUGCUAAUGACUGGCUUGCUGUUAAUAAAUAUAUGGGUAAAUCUCUGUUCAGGGCUCUCAGCUCUGAAGGCUGUGAAACCCCUGAUUUCCCACUUCACACCUCUAUAUUUCUGUGUGUGUGUCUUUAAUUCCUCUAGCGCCACUGAGUUAGGGUCUCCCCGACCAAGCUGGUCUCAGCAAAUAAUAAGAGCUAGUGUGACAUAUGACAGAUGAAAAGAGAUUAAUAUAGUGGUUAUCUUAAUAAGAAAUCCUACAAAUAAUUAGCGUGGUAGUAAAAGCAUAUAUUUGUAGAUCUCAAUUUAAAUUCUGGGUCUGCUAUUGUAAGUCAGAUAAACUUGGCAAGUUACUUUACCUUUCUAACCUCAGUUUCUUUACUUUCUGUCAGUAAGAUAUGAAUGCCAACAUGACAGAUUUGUUUUUAUAUUAAAAUGAAACACUAUACACUUAAGGCAGGUUCUGGGAAAUAAUAAUGGCUCAAAAUUUUAGUCAUUAUUAUAUAGAAAAAUGAAUUGCAAAGUCAUUUUAUGGGACUCUAUUUUCAACUUUUAUGUGGAACUGCAUUGUAUGAAACAGCAAAGUACAACUUAGUAUCUAUUUUGUAAACUCAGCUGUAUGGCAUUUUUUUUCUUAUUAUUAAAUA
RNAcentral lists this long non-coding RNA (3544 nucleotides) under Homo sapiens (human). Its description in RNAcentral is "HSALNT0165425". The record is from RNAcentral. Lineage: Eukaryota; Metazoa; Chordata; Mammalia; Primates; Hominidae.